GGAAGUAAAAGUCGUAACAAGGUCUCCGUAGGUGAACCUGCGGAGGGAUCAUUACACAAAUUAAAAUAUGAAGGCUUCGGCUGGAUUAUUUUUAUCACCCUUGUCUUUUGCGCACUUGUUGUUUCCUGGGCGGGUUCGCCCGCCACCAGGACCACACCAUAAACCUUUUUUUAUGCAGUUGCAAUCAGCGUCAGUAUAACAAAUGUAAAUCAUUUACAACUUUCAACAACGGAUCUCUUGGUUCUGGCAUCGAUGAAGAACGCAGCGAAAUGCGAUACGUAGUGUGAAUUGCAGAAUUCAGUGAAUCAUCGAAUCUUUGAACGCACAUUGCGCCCUUUGGUAUUCCAAAGGGCAUGCCUGUUCGAGCGUCAUUUGUACCCUCAAGCUUUGCUUGGUGUUGGGCGUCUUUUGUCUUUGGCCUCGCCCAAAGACUCGCCUUAAAACGAUUGGCAGCCGGCCUACUGGUUUCGCAGCGCAGCACAUUUUUGCGCUUGCAAUCAGCAAAAAGGACGGCAAUCCAUCAAGACUACAUUUUUACGUUUGACCUCGGAUCAGGUAGGGAUACCCGCUGAACUUAAGCAUAUCAAGCGGAGGAACCACACCACA
This 606-nucleotide ribosomal RNA is filed under the name Curvularia lunata. RNAcentral describes it as "eukaryotic LSU rRNA". The stretch from base 218 to 371 matches the Rfam family "5.8S ribosomal RNA". The record is from RNAcentral. Lineage: Eukaryota; Fungi; Ascomycota; Dothideomycetes; Pleosporales; Pleosporaceae.